Molecule: ribosomal RNA, 484 nt
Filed under: uncultured bacterium
Lineage: Bacteria
Description: partial 16S ribosomal RNA
Rfam family: Bacterial small subunit ribosomal RNA
Source: RNAcentral
AUUGAACGCUGGCGGCAGGCCUAACACAUGCAAGUCGAGCGGAUGAAGGGAGCUUGCUCCUGGAUUCAGCGGCGGACGGGUGAGUAAUGCCUAGGAAUCUGCCUGGUAGUGGGGGAUAACGUCCGGAAACGGGCGCUAAUACCGCAUACGUCCUGAGGGAGAAAGUGGGGGAUCUUCGGACCUCACGCUAUCAGAUGAGCCUAGGUCGGAUUAGCUAGUUGGUGGGGUAAAGGCCUACCAAGGCGACGAUCCGUAACUGGUCUGAGAGGAUGAUCAGUCACACUGGAACUGAGACACGGUCCAGACUCCUACGGGAGGCAGCAGUGGGGAAUAUUGGACAAUGGGCGAAAGCCUGAUCCAGCCAUGCCACGUGUGUGAAGAGGGUCUUCGGAUUGUAAAGCACGUUAAGUUGGGAGGAAGGGCAGUAAGUUAAUACCUUGCUGUUUUGACGUUACCAACAGAAUAAGCACCGGCUAACUUCGUG